This 28-nucleotide small RNA is filed under the name Bombyx mori (domestic silkworm). RNAcentral's name for it is "ovarian small RNA-18151". Lineage: Eukaryota; Metazoa; Arthropoda; Insecta; Lepidoptera; Bombycidae. The record is from RNAcentral.
UAAACCUACGGAAGCGGGAAGCAAUCAA